This 497-nucleotide ribosomal RNA is filed under the name uncultured bacterium. Its description in RNAcentral is "partial 16S ribosomal RNA". It matches the Rfam family "Bacterial small subunit ribosomal RNA", at positions 28 to 507 of the family's 1533-position model. The record is from RNAcentral.
GAUGAACGCUGGCGGCGUGCCUAAUACAUGCAAGUCGAGCGAACAGACGAGGAGCUUGCUCCUCUGACGUUAGCGGCGGACGGGUGAGUAACACGUGGAUAACCUACCUAUAAGACUGGGAUAACUUCGGGAAACCGGAGCUAAUACCGGAUAAUAUAUUGAACCGCAUGGUUCAAUAGUGAAAGACGGUGUUGCUGUCACUUAUAGAUGGAUCUGCGCCGCUUUAGCUAGUUGGUAAGGUAACGGGUUACCAAGGCAACGAGGCGUAGCCGAACGGAGAGGGUGGUCGGCCACAUUGGAACGGGGACACGGUCCAUACGCCUACGGGAGGCAGCAGUAGGGAAUCUGCCGCAAUGGGCGAGAGCAUGACGGAGCAACGCCGCGUGAGUGAUGAAGGUCUUCGGAUCGUAAAACUCUGUUAUUAGGGGAGAACAAAUGUGUAAGUAACUAUGCACGUCUUGACGGUACCUAGUCAGAAAGCCACGGCUAACUACGUG